AUGCCUGAAUAGGGUGAAGCCAGAGGAAACUCUGGUGGAGGCUCGCGAAUUUGGGUAUAGUAGCAAAUAUUCAAAUGAGAACUUUGAAGACUGAAGUGGGGAAAGGUUCCACGUCAACAGCAGUUGGACGUGGGUUAGUCGAUCCUAAGAGAUGGUUUCAAAGGCCUGAUUCAGGCCACCAUCGAAAGGGAAUCCGGUUAAGAUUCCGGAACCUGGAUAUGGAUUCUUCACGGUAACGUAACUGAAUGUGGAGACGUCGGCGCGAGCCCUGGGAGGAGUUAUCUUUUCUUCUUAACAGCUUAUCACCCCGGAAUUGGUUUAUCCGGAGAUGGGGUCUUAUGGCUGGAAGAGGCCAGCACCUUUGCUGGCUCCGGUGCGCUUGUGACGGCCCGUGAAAAUCCACAGGAAGGAAUAGUUUUCAUGCCAGGUCGUACUGUCUCCAAGGUGAACAGCCUCUAGUUGAUAGAAUCCGUAACUUCGGGAUAAGGAUUGGCUCUAAGGGUCGGGUAGUGAGGGCCUUGGUCACGGCCUUGGCUUGCUACAAUUAACGAUCAACUUAGAACUGGUACGGACAAUAUCUAGCGAGGCUGUCUGAUCAGGCAUUGCGUAAGCAGUAGAGUAGCCGUUACGAUCUGCUGAGA
Molecule: ribosomal RNA, 641 nt
Filed under: Saccharomyces cerevisiae BY4741
Lineage: Eukaryota; Fungi; Ascomycota; Saccharomycetes; Saccharomycetales; Saccharomycetaceae
Description: 25S ribosomal RNA from Saccharomyces cerevisiae BY4741 (PDB 7R72, chain 1)
Rfam family: Eukaryotic large subunit ribosomal RNA
Source: RNAcentral